UCACUGUCUGAGAUGUUUUCAGUUAAACUCUCAUCACCUGCUUGCAUCAGAUCUGCCUUCAUUUCAUAAAAUCCAUAUGGGUAAAUACUUUUUUCUUCCUUUCUGAAGGUGGGCACUAUUUGUAGAAAGACCUUGUAAUUGGCCUAACUCUCUUCUCUCAUUCUUUGUCUCAGAUGAAGAAGAAUCACUUCAAGCGGUCAACGGGAUUUUGGAUCAGGCUUGCUGGGCGUAUUGCAGCAGAAUCUUGAAGGGAGCAGCUGAAUGUUGGAGAAGCCUCGAGAGAAUGUUGCAGAGAUUUUUUUGGGUUUAUUGUUUUAAAUCUUUUACUCUGAUCUGUUGUACCUGUUGUGUGUUGGAUAAGCUUGAAGAUUACUUAGAUCACAAGUAAUGAUUAUCCUAAUGAUUUUAGAAAAUAUUGUGU
This 421-nucleotide long non-coding RNA is filed under the name Brassica napus (rape). RNAcentral describes it as "long non-coding RNA (BNAP_LNC008929)". The record is from RNAcentral. Lineage: Eukaryota; Viridiplantae; Streptophyta; Magnoliopsida; Brassicales; Brassicaceae.